UAUUUUUAAUAAUUGGUGUAAGAAAAAAUCACGCUUUCAAUAGAGAAAUGCUACCUGUACGGUUAUUAGUUUCUAGGUAUAUAUAAAUAUUAAGGGCGUGUUUGGUUCGAAAUCGGAGUCGGAAUCGGAAUCAAAAUAAGCUGGAAUCGGAAUCGGAAUGACUCAUUAUCUAAUUUUGUUUGGUUCAUCACUUGAAUCAGAAUCGGAAUAAAUCAUUCCCAUUAUCGGUGUUUAGUUCAGGUGGAUAUAAAAAGCGUAAUCAAAUUAAUAUACUAACAUUAUUUUUAUAGUAUAUUAAUUUAAAUUCAAAUUAAAAAUUAAAUAUUAAAAAUUUACAUCAAAAUUUUGAAAUAAUGUCAAAAUUUUAAAUAUAUUUUUUUUUUAAAAAAAUUAAACUUUGAAGUUGAGUGGAUAAUUCAAAAUAUGAAAUUAAAUUUUAAUUUAUUCAAAUUCAAACUUAAAAUUACAAUUUAAAUUUUAAUUUGAAU
RNAcentral lists this long non-coding RNA (488 nucleotides) under Ananas comosus (pineapple). RNAcentral's name for it is "long non-coding RNA (ACOM_LNC024479)". The record is from RNAcentral. Lineage: Eukaryota; Viridiplantae; Streptophyta; Magnoliopsida; Poales; Bromeliaceae.